This 254-nucleotide ribosomal RNA is filed under the name uncultured bacterium. RNAcentral describes it as "partial 16S ribosomal RNA". It matches the Rfam family "Bacterial small subunit ribosomal RNA", at positions 524 to 776 of the family's 1533-position model. The record is from RNAcentral.
UACGGAGGGAGCGAGCGUUGUCCGAAUUUACUGGGCGUAAAGCGCGCGUAGGCGGGGGAUUAAGUGAGAAGUGAAAGGCUGAGGCUCAACCUCAUGCAGUGCUUCUCAUACUGGUCCUCUUGAGGGUGGUAGAGAGAAGUGGAAUGGCUGGUGUAGCGGUGAAAUGCGUAGAUAUCAGGAGGAACACCUAUUGCGAAGGCAGCUCGCUGGGACGUUACUGACGCUGAGACGCGAAAGCGUGGGGAGCAAACAGG